This 278-nucleotide ribosomal RNA is filed under the name uncultured bacterium. RNAcentral's name for it is "partial 16S ribosomal RNA". It matches the Rfam family "Bacterial small subunit ribosomal RNA", at positions 27 to 312 of the family's 1533-position model. The record is from RNAcentral.
GGACGAACGCUGGCGGCGUGCCUAAAACAUGCAAGUCGAACGGUUCCAGCAAUGGGACAGUGGCGAACGGCGGAGUAAUACGCGAGCAACGUGCCCCGAAGACUGGGAUAGUCGGCCGAAAGGCCGGGUAAUACCGGAUGUGGCGUUUAGAUCGCCUGAUCUUAACGUUAAAAGGUUUUUCGCUUCGGGAGCGGCUCACGGCCUAUCAGGUAGUUGGUGGGGUAACGGCCUACCAAGCCUACGACGGGUAGCGGGUCGUGAGAGGAUGGUCCGCUCGA